This 512-nucleotide ribosomal RNA is filed under the name Staphylococcus aureus. RNAcentral describes it as "bacterial SSU rRNA". It matches the Rfam family "Bacterial small subunit ribosomal RNA", at positions 1021 to 1533 of the family's 1533-position model. Lineage: Bacteria; Bacillati; Bacillota; Bacilli; Caryophanales; Staphylococcaceae. The record is from RNAcentral.
GGGGGACAAAGUGACAGGUGGUGCAUGGUUGUCGUCAGCUCGUGUCGUGAGAUGUUGGGUUAAGUCCCGCAACGAGCGCAACCCUUAAGCUUAGUUGCCAUCAUUAAGUUGGGCACUCUAAGUUGACUGCCGGUGACAAACCGGAGGAAGGUGGGGAUGACGUCAAAUCAUCAUGCCCCUUAUGAUUUGGGCUACACACGUGCUACAAUGGACAAUACAAAGGGCAGCGAAACCGUGAGGUCAAGCAAAUCCCAUAAAGUUGUUCUCAGUUCGGAUUGUAGUCUGCAACUCGACUACAUGAAGCUGGAAUCGCUAGUAAUCGUAGAUCAUCAUGCUACGGUGAAUACGUUCCCGGGUCUUGUACACACCGCCCGUCACACCACGAGAGUUUGUAACACCCGAAGCCGGUGGAGUAACCUUUUAGGAGCUAGCCGUCGAAGGUGGGACAAAUGAUUGGGGUGAAGUCGUAACAAGGUAGCCGUAUCGGAAGGUGCGGCUGGAUCACCUCCUUU